This 110-nucleotide ribosomal RNA is filed under the name Saimiri boliviensis boliviensis (Bolivian squirrel monkey). Lineage: Eukaryota; Metazoa; Chordata; Mammalia; Primates; Cebidae. The record is from RNAcentral.
AUCUACGGCCAUACCACCUUGAACACGCCUCAUCUCAUGUGAUCUUGGAAGCUAAGCAGGGUCAGGCCUGGUUAGUACUUGGAUGGGAGAAACCCUAUGCUGCUGUGUUG